UCGGAAUCUGUAAAAUCCAUAAUUCUAGGUUAGGUUUUGAAUGUGGUGAAAAGUAUCAUAAUUUUGUACUUUUAUCAAUUUUUUUGCUAGUAGAUUUAUUACCUGAAUGAAAUAAUGUCUAUUGAAGUAUUUAAAAUGUUUGUAAUAGAUAAUUCGUGUAUGUUAGGGAUAAUACUAUUUUUCUUAUGGUUGGAGUACAUUUGGGAGCUGUACUUAUCAAUUAGACAGUUCCUGUUAGCUAAUAGAACGGAAAAUGUACCAGAUGAUUUGAAAGAGGUAAUGUCCCAGGAAACAUU
This is a long non-coding RNA of Agrilus planipennis (emerald ash borer), 296 nucleotides long. RefSeq lists it as uncharacterized. The record is from RefSeq and is a predicted model, not a curated record. NCBI's taxonomy places the organism in Eukaryota, Metazoa, Arthropoda, Insecta, Coleoptera, Buprestidae. The transcript is spliced from 2 exons.